RNAcentral lists this ribosomal RNA (492 nucleotides) under uncultured bacterium. RNAcentral's name for it is "partial 16S ribosomal RNA". It matches the Rfam family "Bacterial small subunit ribosomal RNA", at positions 29 to 507 of the family's 1533-position model. The record is from RNAcentral.
AGUGAACGCUGGCGGUAGGCCUAACACAUGCAAGUCGAACGGCAGCACAGUAAGAGCUUGCUCUUACGGGUGGCGAGUGGCGGACGGGUGAGGAAUACAUCGGAAUCUACUUUUUCGUGGGGGAUAACGUAGGGAAACUUACGCUAAUACCGCAUACGACCUACGGGUGAAAGCAGGGGAUCUUCGGACCUUGCGCGAUUGAAUGAGCCGAUGUCGGAUUAGCUAGUUGGCGGGGUAAAGGCCCACCAAGGCGACGAUCCGUAGCUGGUCUGAGAGGAUGGACAGGCAACAUGGAACAUGGGACCGGGCCAGGCCGCUAAGGGGAGGAGGCAGGGGGUAUUAUGGGAAAUGGGCGCAAGCCUGAUCCAGCCAUACCGCGUGGGUGAAGAAGGCCUUCGGGUUGUAAAGCCCUUUUGUUGGGAAAGAAAAGCAGCAGGUUAAUACCCCGCUGUUCUGACGGUACCCAAAGAAUAAGCACCGGCUAACUUCGUG